UUCAUUAAGCCUGAAAGAGCAUGAAAUUUUUUAUGGAAAUGUUAAAUGUCAAAGUAAUAGUUAUCACUGAAUCAUACUUGUGACAUUACUUAACAUAUACAUAUAAAUAUAACAGAAUUCUAUGGAACCUUUAAUACCCAGAAUGCCUGCAGCCACACCACCAGCCGAAAAUGGCGCGCCGCGCAGCGAGUUGGAGCAACUCCAAUUACGAGCCGGCGAAGUUACUGAUGAGUCACUGGAAUCAACUCGGCGUAUGAUGCAACUAUGCGAGGAGAGCAAGGAGGCCGGCAUACGAACUCUGGUCGCUCUAGAUGACCAGGGAGAGCAAUUGGAUAGAAUUGAGGAGGGGAUGGACCAGAUAAACGCAGACAUGCGUGAGGCCGAGAAAAAUCUGUCUGGAAUGGAGAAGUGCUGUGGUAUCUGCGUGUUGCCUUGUAACAAGGGAGCAUCGUUCAAGGAAGAUGAUGGUACAUGGAAGGGCAACGAUGACGGUAAGGUAGUCAACAACCAGCCGCAACGGGUGAUGGACGAGCGCAAUGGCAUUGGACCACAAGCGGGAUACAUUGGCAGGAUAACAAACGACGCUCGCGAAGAUGAGAUGGAAGAGAACAUGGGUCAAGUAAACACUAUGAUCGGUAACUUGCGUAACAUGGCCAUUGACAUGGGCUCUGAACUUGAGAACCAGAACAGGCAGAUCGACCGUAUCAACCGCAAGGGUGAAUCGAAUGAGACAAGAAUAAAGGUCGCCAACCAGCGCGCACACGAGCUCCUCAAGUAAACGGCGGCGGCGACACACAAACACACACACGUCUCGUGGUCAAGUCGAUUGCAAACACUUAAGUACACAAAAAAGGACUUUAUUUUUAAUUGGAUUUUGUACAAUAUUUUUUUAAUUAUGUCAAUCUAAAGGUUAUAUUUUUAAGUCUUUUAAAAAUUGUUUGCAACCGACUUAAAGAACCAGUAUUUUGCUUAGUGACAUUAUCCAAUUAAUCUUUAUCUGUACUAAUAUGUAGACAUUUGAAGUUGUAUAGAAUAUUGCUAUUUAUUAAAGGAGGGAAGGAUCAAGACUUUUGCUUGAAGGAAUUAUUGUUAAAUGCAUAAAAAUCGAAUGCAAUAAAAUUGCUAAACUCCCUUUUCAUAUUAAAAUUAUUUACCUUUUAAACGCUCCGAUUAUUUGUUGAUACCCAUUUUUUUAUAAUUCUAUAUGAAAAUGUUACUAUGACCAGUGUUAAAAAAACUUUUCUCGUAUAAUAUAGGUUUUUGUAGUCAACUAUAAGAAUAUCGUAAGGAUUGGCUAAUGUGAUAAUAUGAAGAUAAGGUGGAGUUAGGUUAAUAUAUUUCAUAGGAGCAUUUAUGUUCUAUGCAAAAAAUCCACCCGCAAUGCCCAUAAACGUAUUACAUAUCUCAACACACCUGCUUCUAUGGAAUAUUUCUUAGAAAAUGCUUUGUAUGAAACGGCUUUUUAUUACAAAAAACUUUUCUUAGUUUUGUAUUCGAGAUUACAUUUAGAUAGGAUUCUGUUUAUAUACGAAACCUGAAGUGUUUUUAGGAAAUAAGAACUGGCACAAGGCAGAAAAGAACCAGCCUAAAAAAUUACAUAGAUCCAAAGGUGUCGUUAAUAUAUAUAAAGUACCAAAGAGUUAUUUGGAAAUAGAUUGCUCCCCAUGCCUAUAAGAUCUUGGAAUACAAGUACUUAAUGCAGGCGUUAUAAGAAGGAUUCGCAUACGUAGCAAGAACGUAUACAUACGCGUAUACUGAUUUCAUAAACACUCUUGUCUUGAAAUUGUCCCUUUAAAAAAAUCUACAUUUCGGGUUUCAACAAAUAUACUUUAAGUAAUCAACGCUAGAUUAGUUGUUAUAUGCUUCAUAAUAAAUUAAUCAUCUAGUUGAUAAUUUUAUUUAUUCCUAUACGAUUUAGGCACAUAAAUACCUCGUUAAAUGUUUCAUUACUCUAUAUAUAUAUAUAUAUAUAUAGUCAUGUAGUUUUUCACCACGAGACAGACAUACAUACACUAACACAUUUACGGACAACGAUACUGGUGAGAGUAACGAGACCCGUAUAGCAGUCGCGAACCAGCGAGCGAAUAAACUACUCAAAUCUUAAACAGAUUACAACAGCGGUUGGCAGAAUGACGUUAAUCAUAUGUCAAAUGUUCGAUAAUUAUUAAAGACGAUUUUACAAUCAUAAUACCGGAUUGUAGCGAUGAAAAACCGGGUUUCGGUUUCAGAGUUUAUCGAUUAGCAGUGUCGUUUUGCUUCUAGAUAUAUUUUAUUCUUCCAUUUCUUAUAUAUCGAUGGUAUUUUUUCUUGGACCAAGUUUUUCAGUACAAAUGGUACAUAUCAGAUUUAGCGUCAUUUUGUGAACCUUACAGUAAAAGUUGGAACGUGGAUACAAUAAAUAGAAGAAUUGAUAUAAUGUAUAGAGAUGUUAUAACUAGAUAUAACCCAGUUUCUGGCCGACUCCGACACGACAAACGCAUUAAAGGCACAUACCCUGGGGUUUGAGACGACAAUUAUUGUCAACAGGUGUCGCCCAUUAAUGAAAAUUUGUAUAAAUGUCAAUGUCAUUCCCAUACAAAUUGUUUAGCGUUAGUGGGCCACGCCUAUGGGAAAGUGAUGUUGUCGCUAGCCCCUAAAUCUAAAUUCUAUAAGAUUUCUAUUAAAGAUUCACUAUAACUUUGUUAUAUGCUUAUUGUAACGUAUCCUGUCAAGUAGUUCUAUAAUGCACAAAAUUUCUUUAAUGUGCCAAAAGUAUUUGAUUAUUUCGCGCGACAAAUUCCUUUAAAAAUAAUCUAGUCUCAAUUGCGUUGCUAGGAUUUUAAUAAAUUUGGGCGUCAAAUGUAAUGGCCGAUGUGAAUAAAAAAAAUCUUAAAAUGCAAAAUAUAGUUCGAAAUUCAAAUAAUAAUUUAAUUAAGAAUGACAAAUUGUUCGAAAUUUAAAAUAACAUAAAUUCUGUAUUAAAAUCAAAAACUAUAUAAACUUAGAUACUUCACAAGGUCAUACAUAGGUUUUUGUGCUUGUCCAUUCUAUUAUAUAAUAUUAUUUAUGAUUUAUAAAUCGAAAAUUUUAUAAUAAUUGAUUAUAAGCAUUUCUGUAAUUAGUAAUUCGUUUUAGGUUAAGUGAUUUGUGCCUGAAUAAUAUUAAUUUUAGUUAACUAUCGUUUCUAGUUUCGCUAACAUAUAUUCCAACAUUUCAAUUGUUAUUGUGGUCUCAAAAGAGUUUUAUACAAAAGGACUUAUAAAUAAUGUAUAAUGUAAAAUUGUACAGCACCACCUCUUCUUUGUGUUGGUAAUAAAAAAAAGAAUAUAACGUUGCUUUUUCGAUACGAAUAUUGUACUGGUAAAAUAAUUUUAAAGGUACCUUCAGUACUUUAUAACCUAUGAUUAAACUCACAACUACUAUGACCAUAAAUUUAGGAAUCAAAAUAUUUUACCUAUUAAUUUUACUACUGAACGUGAAGUUUAUACAGUAACUCUAGUAGGCCGUAGGCUCCAAACAUGCCUAUGAGACAGCCAUAACAGACGGUCACUUCAUACCAUGAUGCGUUUUAGUGGGUGUGUUGCCGUCCUUUAAGGUACCUUAAAAAGAGAAAGAGACUCAUGAAAGCUCUCUUUUUGAUAAUAACUUUAUUUAAUAUGCAUCAACAUCAUAAUCGGUAUGUACAGCGAGUUUUCAAUAACUCAUAAAUAAUAUUUACUAAUAAAGUUACUUCAGGGCUUCUAAAGUCCUAUUAUAUGCCUCUCACAUAUCUCCAAUAGCUGUACACUAUUAUUUUGACUCAUUAAAAGUUUCAUAUAAAAUGUAUAAACCUCUUUGGUAGAUCACAAAUAGAUUAAUUAUCAAUGCAAUAGUCUAUUUGAUAGUUGAGCAUUUAAAAACGUUAUUACUUAAAGUAUAUAAAUACGUACGUAAGUGACGAGUACCGGCCUUAGAGUAAAGUAUAUAAGACGUUACGGCUUGGUGUUGUUUACGGAUGAGGCGGUUUUUAAUCGGUAUCUUGCUUUAUAGGUAUAGCUAUGGUUAAGCUGUGAUUAAAUGUCAUGUGUCCAAAUUUGACAGUUUCUGAUAAAUACUGUAGUAACUGACGUGACAGGACGACAAGUCAAUGUUACUGUCAAACGACUUCAAUCUGUCACCGUUAAAUGUGACUGAUUAAAAUAUAUGUAGAUAUACAUUUUCAAAGAAUUUCCUUCUUAGUAAUAUAUCGCAUCAGUAGUCAUCUGAACACGAAAAAAACUCUUUAUUUAAUUCAAUAACUAACUUAAUUAAUACAAUGACUUGCGUUUGGACAGUAAGACAGAAAAGCAAGAUCCGAAAACCGCCUUAGUCUAUGGGGAUUUAACUACAAUACUUAUCAAUCGCUCAUGCAUGUAGUUAAACCCCAAUAUUUAAGAUACAUUUUUCGAAAUUUCUCUGUCUCUUUCGAUUAGUUAAGGGUUGAUCUUAUUCAAUAUUAAAAAUAUCCUAGACAUGUUUAAGUACUCAAUAGAUGUGUAUAUUUACCGUGCGCAAAUAUAUUCGUUUGUAAUCAGCCUAAUUAUAUCUACUGUACACAUAGACAAAUUAUUUUUCAUUAUGAAAUAGAGUAUAUCGUUAGUGUAAACUGUUAAUUUCUAAUUAAAUUAUUGAUUUGUUAAAAUUAACUUUA
Molecule: RNA transcript, 4648 nt
Organism: Pieris rapae (cabbage white)
Lineage: Eukaryota; Metazoa; Arthropoda; Insecta; Lepidoptera; Pieridae
Gene name: synaptosomal-associated protein 25
Exons: 9
Source: RefSeq, a predicted model, not a curated record